Molecule: non-coding RNA, 21 nt
Filed under: Trypanosoma brucei brucei
Lineage: Eukaryota; Euglenozoa; Kinetoplastea; Trypanosomatida; Trypanosomatidae
Source: RNAcentral
GGAAUUUAACCCUCCGUAUAU